RNAcentral lists this transfer RNA (72 nucleotides) under Pleuronectes platessa (European plaice). RNAcentral describes it as "tRNA-Pro". Lineage: Eukaryota; Metazoa; Chordata; Actinopteri; Pleuronectiformes; Pleuronectidae. The record is from RNAcentral.
GGCUCGUUGGUCAAAUGGUAGGAUUCUCACUCCGGGUGUGAGAGGUUCGGGUUUAAAUCCCAUAACGAGCCC